Molecule: ribosomal RNA, 253 nt
Filed under: uncultured bacterium
Lineage: Bacteria
Description: partial 16S ribosomal RNA
Rfam family: Bacterial small subunit ribosomal RNA
Source: RNAcentral
UACAGAGGGUGCGAGCGUUAAUCGGAAUUACUGGGCGUAAAGCGUGCGUAGACGGCUAUCUAAGUCGGGUGUGAAAGCCCCGGGCUCAACCUGGGAAUUGCAUUCGAGACUGAAUAGCUAGGGUGCGGUAGAGGGAAGCGGAAUUUCCGGUGUAGCGGUGAAAUGCGUAGAGAUCAUGAGGAAGACCAGUGGCGAAGGCGGGUCUCUGGACAGUUCCUGACACUGAGACACGAAGGCCAGGGGAGCAAACGGG